UACUAUACAGUACGGUCAUACGCGGUAGCUAGCUAGCAACACGAUGUAAACAAUCUAUCGAUCGGCGCUAGCUAAAAAUGGCACAGGCAGAAGAAAAAGAAAGUGCUGAAUCACUGCUUGCGGAUAUUCAGAAGAAAAUUACAGAUGCAUUUGAUAUCUUCGACCAUGAGUCUAAUAAGACUGUUGAUGUUAGGGAGAUUGGGACCAUUAUCAGGUCAUUAGGUUGCUGUCCUAGUGAAGGUGAACUCCAUGAUCUUUUAUCUGAGAUGGAAGAGGAGGAGCCCACAGGAUACAUCAAGUAUGAUCGUUACAAGCCAAUCAUGCGAGAAGUUCUCAUGGAACGCAAAUUCAAGCCAUCCCCUGAGGAUCAGCUUGUCAAGGCAUUUGAAGUACUAGAUGUUGAAAAGAAAGGCCAUCUUACAGUUGAAGAGGUGACAAAACUCAUGUCUGAAGAAGGAGAGCCAUUCACGCAGGAAGAACUUGAAGAGAUGCUUUCAGCUGCUGUGGACCCAGAGAAAGGGGUGGUCCUGUAUAAAGAUUAUGCUUCGAUGAUGACACUUGAUGCAGAAAUGUGAUUCCUGUCCUUUUUUUACAUCAUCACUAAAUGAAAUGUCAGUGAUGAAUUUUAGUGAUUUUGAACAGUGUCCAAGGAAAAGAUUGUGUUUUAUCGCUGCAAAAUAUUUGAAUCACAAAAUGGAUGACAAAUCGUUUCAAGUCUGUCCAAGGUCAUAUGCACUGAACACAAAUAAGCAUGUAAUGGACUAUACAGAGGUGUUUAGCCCGACCGUUUCAGCUGUUUGUUAUAUUUCAAUAUUGAGGGCAUUUGAAGAGUAAUCCUUUGCUAAGAAACAUUUCUUGAUCCGAUAUUCUUCCUGAAUACCAUGAUAAGAAAUGCUCACAAUGCUAUUAAACAUCGGUCUUUCCCACAACUGUUAUUUCUUUGGAAAAAAAAUAUAAAGUAGUUUUUCACACCAAGUACUUCAAUACAGUUUGGACCAUAUUUGUCAACUUUACUUGGUCUUGAAAGUCAUUUGUAGCUCUGAAUAGGAAGUUGCAAAUGUCAAAUGAAAAAAUGCGAAAAUAUUUUCUAUGUUAGGAUAGAAAAUAUUAAAUGCACACGAGUCAAAAGUGAGGUCAAAGAUGCCCAGCUUUCAGCAGGCCUGCAUAACAUAUGGUAAUAGAUUCCAAAAACAAGUUUCAUGAUGAGCAAAAUAAAUAUAUGGCUCAGCUUUUGUGCAAAAAUAAAUGCUAAUUCAGCUUUGCUGGUCAGAGCUCAUCCAAUUAAUUA
Molecule: RNA transcript, 1288 nt
Organism: Lytechinus variegatus (green sea urchin)
Lineage: Eukaryota; Metazoa; Echinodermata; Echinoidea; Temnopleuroida; Toxopneustidae
Gene name: dynein regulatory complex protein 8-like
Exons: 6
Source: RefSeq, a predicted model, not a curated record